CAGUCGCCGCGGUAAUGCAGAGGAUGCAAGCGUUAUCCGGAAUUAUUGGGCGUAAAGGGCUCGCAGGCGGUUUCUUAAGUCUGAUGUGAAAGCCCCCGGCUCAACCGGGGAGGGUCAUUGGAAACUGGGAAACUUGAGUGCAGAAGAGGAGAGUGGAAUUCCACGUGUAGCGGUGAAAUGCGUAGAGAUGUGGAGGAACACCAGUGGCGAAGGCGACUCUCUGGUCUGUAACUGACGCUGAGGAGCGAAAGCGUGGGGAGCGAACAGGAUUAGAUACCCCAGUAGUCCCUGUCUCUUAUAC
RNAcentral lists this ribosomal RNA (301 nucleotides) under uncultured bacterium. Its description in RNAcentral is "partial 16S ribosomal RNA". It matches the Rfam family "Bacterial small subunit ribosomal RNA", at positions 509 to 807 of the family's 1533-position model. The record is from RNAcentral.